This 289-nucleotide ribosomal RNA is filed under the name uncultured bacterium. RNAcentral's name for it is "partial 16S ribosomal RNA". It matches the Rfam family "Bacterial small subunit ribosomal RNA", at positions 1030 to 1318 of the family's 1533-position model. The record is from RNAcentral.
GAACACAGGUGCUGCAUGGUGGUUGUCAGCUCGUGUCGUGAGAUGUUGGGUUAAGUCCCGAAACGAGCGCAACCCUUGUCCUUAGUUGCCAGCACGUAAUGGUGGGCACUCAAAGGAGACUGCCGGUGACAAACCGGAGGAAGGUGGGGAUGACGUCAAGUCAUCAUGGCCCUUAUGGCCAGGGCUCCCCCCGUCUUCCAAUGGUCGGUACAAAGGGUUGCCAACCCGGGAGGGGAAGCUAAUCCCAAAAACCCGAUUCUAGUCCGGAUGGCAUUUUGCAAUUGGACUC